This 878-nucleotide ribosomal RNA is filed under the name uncultured bacterium. Its description in RNAcentral is "bacterial SSU rRNA". It matches the Rfam family "Bacterial small subunit ribosomal RNA", at positions 8 to 886 of the family's 1533-position model. The record is from RNAcentral.
AGAGUUUGAUCCUGGCUCAGGACGAACGCUGGCGGCGUGCUUAACACAUGCAAGUCGAACGAAGCUUGAUUACGGAUUCUUCGGAUGAAGUAUGAUAUGACUGAGUGGCGGACGGGUGAGUAACGCGUGAGUAACCUGCCCUUCAGAGGGGGAUAGCGUUUGGAAACGAACGGUAAUACCGCAUAAUGUAUUUUGACCGCAUGAUCGAAAUACCAAAGAUUUAUCGCUGAAGGAUGGACUCGCGUCUGAUUAGGUAGUUGGUGGGGUAACGGCCUACCAAGCCGACGAUCAGUAGCCGGACUGAGAGGUUGAUCGGCCACAUUGGGACUGAGACACGGCCCAGACUCCUACGGGAGGCAGCAGUGGGGAAUAUUGCACAAUGGGCGCAAGCCUGAUGCAGCAACGCCGCGUGAAGGAAGACGGUUUUCGGAUUGUAAACUUCUGUUCUUAGUGAAGAAUAAUGACGGUAGCUAAGGAGCAAGCCACGGCUAACUACGUGCCAGCAGCCGCGGUAAUACGUAGGUGGCAAGCGUUGUCCGGAAUUACUGGGUGUAAAGGGAGCGCAGGCGGGUGAUCAAGUCAGCUGUGAAAACUACGGGCUUAACCCGUAGACUGCAGUUGAAACUGUUCAUCUUGAGUGAAGUAGAGGUUGGCGGAAUUCCGAGUGUAGCGGUGAAAUGCGUAGAUAUUCGGAGGAACACCGGUGGCGAAGGCGGCCAACUGGGCUUUAACUGACGCUGAGGCUCGAAAGUGUGGGGAGCAAACAGGAUUAGAUACCCUGGUAGUCCACACUGUAAACGAUGAUUGCUAGGUGUGGGGGGUCUGACCCCUUCCGUGCCGGAGCUAACGCAAUAAGCAAUCCACCUGGGGAGUACGAC